RNAcentral lists this ribosomal RNA (460 nucleotides) under uncultured bacterium. RNAcentral's name for it is "partial 16S ribosomal RNA". It matches the Rfam family "Bacterial small subunit ribosomal RNA", at positions 338 to 795 of the family's 1533-position model. The record is from RNAcentral.
CCUACGGGAGGCAGCAGUGAGGAAUAUUGGUCAAUGGACGAGAGUCUGAACCAGCCAAGUAGCGUGAAGGAUGACUGCCCUAUGGGUUGUAAACUUCUUUUAUAUGGGAAUAAAACGUUCCACGUGUGGGAUUUUGUAUGUACCAUAUGAAUAAGGAUCGGCUAACUCCGUGCCAGCAGCCGCGGUAAUACGGAGGAUCCGAGCGUUAUCCGGAUUGAUUGGGUUUAAAGGGAGCGUAGGUGGAUUGUUAAGUCAGUUGUGAAAGUUUGCGGCUCAACCGUAAAAUUGCAGUUGAAACUGGCAGUCUUGAGUACAGUAGAGGUGGGCGGAAUUCGAGGUGUAGCGGUGAAAUGCUUAGAGAUCACGAAGAACUCCGAUUGCGAAGGCAGCUCACUGGACUGCAACUGACACUGAGGCUCGAAAGUGUGGGUAUCAAACAGGAUUAGAUACCCCAGUAGUC